AGUGGCAAACGGGUGAGUAUAAUGUGGGAAUCUGCCUUUUGGUUUGGAAUAACACGGGGAAACUUGUGCUAAUACCGAAUAAGCCUUUACAGGGAAAGUUUUAACGCCGAAAGAUGAGCCUGCACUUGAUUAGCUAGUUGGUAAGGUAAAAGCUUACCAAGGCAACGAUCAAUAGCUGUUCUUAGAGGAAGACCAGCCACAUUGGGACUGAGACACGGCCCAGACUCCUACGGGAGGCAGCAGUGGGGAAUCUUGCACAAUGGGGGAAACCCUGAUGCAGCGAUGCCGCGUGAGUGAAGAAGGCCCUUGGGUUGUAAAACUCUUUCGUCGGGGAAGAAAAUGACUGUACCCGAAUAAGAAGGUCCGGCUAACUUCGUGCCAGCAGCCGCGGUAAUACGAAGGGACCUAGCGUAGUUCGGAAUUACUGGGCUUAAAGAGCUCGUAGGUGGUCAAAAAAGUUGAUGGUGAAAUCCCAAGGCUCAACCUUGGAACUGCCAUCAAAACUUUUUAGCUAGAGUGUGAUAGAGGUAAGUGGAAUUUCUAGUGUAGAGGUGAAAUUCGUAGAUAUUAGAAAGAACACCAAAUGCGAAGGCAACUUACUGGGUCAUUACUGACACUGAGGAGCGAAAGCAUGGGUAGCGAAGAGGAUUAGAUACCCUCGUAGUCCAUGCCGUAAACGAUGUGUGCUAGACGUUGGAAAUAUAUUUUUCAGUGUCGCAGCGAAAGCAUUAAGCACACCGCCUGGGGAGUAC
RNAcentral lists this ribosomal RNA (752 nucleotides) under uncultured marine bacterium. RNAcentral's name for it is "bacterial SSU rRNA". It matches the Rfam family "Bacterial small subunit ribosomal RNA", at positions 94 to 883 of the family's 1533-position model. The record is from RNAcentral.